ACACCUCAACUCUCAUGGUUUGCCAUGAUGAGCUUGGACUUUGGGGGUCUUGCUGGCCUACGGUCGGCUCCUCUCAAAUGAAUCAGCUUGCCAGUGUUUGGUGGCAUCACGGGUGUGAUAACUAUCUACGCUUGUGGUUUCCCACCAGGUAACCUUCAGUGAUGGAGGUUCGCUGGGGCUCAUAAACGUCCUUCCACAGCGAGGACAGCUUUUGAAC
This 217-nucleotide unclassified non-coding RNA is filed under the name uncultured Tomentella. RNAcentral describes it as "partial internal transcribed spacer 2". The record is from RNAcentral. Lineage: Eukaryota; Fungi; Basidiomycota; Agaricomycetes; Thelephorales; Thelephoraceae.